AUUGAACGCUGGCGGCAGGCCUAACACAUGCAAGUCGAACGGUAACAGGAAACAGCUUGCUGUUUCGCUGACGAGUGGCGGACGGGUGAGUAAUGUAUGGGAAACUGCCUGAUGGAGGGGGAUAACUACUGGAAACGGUAGCUAAUACCGCAUACCGUCGCAGGACCAAAGAGGGGGACCUCCGGGCCUCUUGCCAUCGGAUGUGCCCAGGUGGGAUUAGCUAGUAGGUGGGGUAACGGCUCACCAAGGCGACGAUCCCUAGCUGGUCUGAGAGGAUGACCAGCCACACUGGAACUGAGACACGGUCCAGACUCCUACGGGAGGCAGCAGUGGGGAAUAUUGGACAAUGGGCGCAAGCCUGAUGCAGCCAUGCCGCGUGUAUGAAGAAGGCCUUCGGGUUGUAAAGUCCUUUUAUCGGGGAGGAAGGCAGUAAGGUUAAUACCUUGGGUCAUUGACGUUACCCGCAGAAGAAGCACCGGCUAACUUCGUG
RNAcentral lists this ribosomal RNA (490 nucleotides) under uncultured bacterium. Its description in RNAcentral is "partial 16S ribosomal RNA". It matches the Rfam family "Bacterial small subunit ribosomal RNA", at positions 30 to 507 of the family's 1533-position model. The record is from RNAcentral.